GUUCUUGUAGUUAAAUAUAUAUAGCGGCGGUUUUUCAGGCCGCAGUUCUCAGAGAGAGACUGGGCAGGAACA
This 72-nucleotide transfer RNA is filed under the name Amandava amandava (red avadavat). RNAcentral describes it as "tRNA-Glu". Lineage: Eukaryota; Metazoa; Chordata; Aves; Passeriformes; Estrildidae. The record is from RNAcentral.